GGCAAUUGGAAUGAGAACAAUUUAAAUCCCUUAUCGAGGAUCAAUUGGAGGGCAAGUCUGGUGCCAGCAGCCGCGGUAAUUCCAGCUCCAAUAGCGUAUAUUAAAGUUGUUGCCGUUAAAAAGCUCGUAGUUGGAUUUCUGGUGGGGCUGUCGGCCUGGCUCCGAAAGGGGUCGGCGCUUGUACACGCCUGGCCAUCCUCGGGGGAAGCUUUGCUGGCAUUAAGUUGUCGGCGGAGUGACGCUCGUCGUUUACUGUGAACAAAUUAGAGUGUUCAAAGCAGGCUUAGGCCGUUGAAUACAUUAGCAUGGAAUAAUGAGAUAGGACUUUGGUGGUCUAUUUUGUUGGUUUGCACGCCGAAGUAAUGAUUAAUAGGGGCGGUUGGGGGUAUUCGUAUUCAAUUGUCAGAGGUGAAAUUCUUGGAUUUAUGGAAGACGAACUACUGCGAAAGCAUUUACCAAGGAUGUUUUUAUUAAUCAAGAACGAAAGUUAGGGGAUCGAAGACGAUCAGAUACCGUCCUAGUCUUAACCAUAAACCAUGCCGACUAGAGA
Molecule: ribosomal RNA, 550 nt
Filed under: uncultured diatom
Lineage: Eukaryota; Bacillariophyta
Description: SSU rRNA
Rfam family: Eukaryotic small subunit ribosomal RNA
Source: RNAcentral